Molecule: long non-coding RNA, 686 nt
Organism: Homo sapiens (human)
Lineage: Eukaryota; Metazoa; Chordata; Mammalia; Primates; Hominidae
Exons: 3
Source: RefSeq, a predicted model, not a curated record
ACAGACAUCCUUUUGGCUGAGUUCUGCUGCCUGAAAACUUCUGUCAAAACACAGAAUCGUUUCUGGAAGUGAGACGAUUGAACUGGUUUCUUGCCAACAGGUGUCCCAGAAGGAGCGUUCGCAGCUCCCUGGAGGCGGGAACGGAGUCCCCCGGGGAGAGAGUGGUCCAGGGUUUGCCCUCAGGCGUCCACACUGUCCGCCGGCGAGGCUGGUCCUGUUCCCAGCACCCACGCUGCUAGAGCCACCGGAUCUCCCAGGAGGAGACCCAGCUGCACUCAGAAGAAUCACGCUGGCCUAGGAGAUGGACGGCGGCGUGCGGGAGGGUGAGUCUGCUGACUUUUGCCUGCAAACCCUGAGAUGCGGUGACAUAAAAAGUGAGAAAAUCGCCAUUCCCUCUCAGCAGCGCAGCAGGACCGUGUGCGGCUGCAAAGCUGAGCUGUCGUCUUGCCUGUGGCUUCCGAAAUGCAGCCCUGGGCCCUGUGAUCGCUGCAUUUUCUCUGCGCAGCUUUGAGGGACGGAGUGUGCUGACCAACAGAAGAAAGGCAAACAGCAGAAACUGACACUGUGGUGGCCACUGGACGUGGCCUCGGUCGGCUGCGGAGAGAGAAUUUAUUUCCACAGCGACCCUCAGGAGGCGCAGGUCUUGGCCAGACCCAUUCUUAGAAAGGAACAUGAGAUCAGAAAGG